RNAcentral lists this ribosomal RNA (2900 nucleotides) under Escherichia coli. RNAcentral describes it as "23S ribosomal RNA". It matches the Rfam family "Bacterial large subunit ribosomal RNA". The record is from RNAcentral. Lineage: Bacteria; Pseudomonadati; Pseudomonadota; Gammaproteobacteria; Enterobacterales; Enterobacteriaceae.
GGUUAAGCGACUAAGCGUACACGGUGGAUGCCCUGGCAGUCAGAGGCGAUGAAGGACGUGCUAAUCUGCGAUAAGCGUCGGUAAGGUGAUAUGAACCGUUAUAACCGGCGAUUUCCGAAUGGGGAAACCCAGUGUGUUUCGACACACUAUCAUUAACUGAAUCCAUAGGUUAAUGAGGCGAACCGGGGAACUGAAACAUCUAAGUACCCCGAGGAAAAGAAAUCAACCGAGAUUCCCCCAGUAGCGGCGAGCGAACGGGGAGGAGCCCAGAGCCUGAAUCAGUGUGUGUGUUAGUGGAAGCGUCUGGAAAGGCGCGCGAUACAGGGUGACAGCCCCGUACACAAAAAUGCACAUGCUGUGAGCUCGAUGAGUAGGGCGGGACACGUGGUAUCCUGUCUGAAUAUGGGGGACCAUCCUCCAAGGCUAAAUACUCCUGACUGACCGAUAGUGAACCAGUACCGUGAGGGAAAGGCGAAAAGAACCCCGGCGAGGGGAGUGAAAAAGAACCUGAAACCGUGUACGUACAAGCAGUGGAAGCCUAUUUAUGGGGUGACUGCGUACCUUUUGUAUAAUGGGUCAGCGACUUAUAUUCUGUAGCAAGGUUAACCGAAUAGGGGAGCCGAAGGGAAACCGAGUCUUAACUGGGCGUUAAGUUGCAGGGUAUAGACCCGAAACCCGGUGAUCUAGCCAUGGGCAGGUUGAAGGUUGGGUAACACUAACUGGAGGACCGAACCGACUAAUGUUGAAAAAUUAGCGGAUGACUUGUGGCUGGGGGUGAAAGGCCAAUCAAACCGGGAGAUAGCUGGUUCUCCCCGAAAGCUAUUUAGGUAGCGCCUCGUGAAUUCAUCUCCGGGGUAGAGCACUGUUUCGGCAAGGGGUCAUCCCGACUUACCAACCCGAUGCAAACUGCGAAUACCGGAGAAUGUUAUCACGGGAGACACACGGCGGGUGCUAACGUCCGUCGUGAAGAGGGAAACAACCCAGACCGCCAGUUAAGGUCCCAAAGUCAUGGUUAAGUGGGAAACGAUGUGGGAAGGCCCAGACAGCCAGGAUGUUGGCUUAGAAGCAGCCAUCAUUUAAAGAAAGCGUAAUAGCUCACUGGUCGAGUCGGCCUGCGCGGAAGAUGUAACGGGGCUAAACCAUGCACCGAAGCUGCGGCAGCGACGCUGAUGCGUUGUUGGGUAGGGGAGCGUUCUGUAAGCCUGCGAAGGUGUGCUGUGAGGCAUGCUGGAGGUAUCAGAAGUGCGAAUGCUGACAUAAGUAACGAUAAAGCGGGUGAAAAGCCCGCUCGCCGGAAGACCAAGGGUUCCUGUCCAACGUUAAUCGGGGCAGGGUGAGUCGACCCUAAGGCGAGGCCGAAAGGCGUAGUCGAUGGGAAACAGGUUAAUAUUCCUGUACUUGGUGUUACUGCGAAGGGGGACGGAGAAGGCUAUGUUGGUACGGGCGACGGUUGUCCCGGUUUAAGCGUGUAGGCUGGUUUUCCAGGCAAAUCCGGAAAAUCAAGGCUGAGGCGUGAUGACGAGGCACUACGGUGCUGAAGUAACAAAUGCCCUGCUUCCAGGAAAAGCCUCUAAGCAUCAGGUAACAUCAAAUCGUACCCCAAACCGACACAGGUGGUCAGGUAGAGAAUACCAAGGCGCUUGAGAGAACUCGGGUGAAGGAACUAGGCAAAAUGGUGCUGUAACUUCGGGAGAAGGCACGCUGAUAUGUAGGUGAAGCGACUUGCUCGUGGAGCUGAAAUCAGUCGAAGAUACCAGCUGGCUGCAACUGUUUAUUAAAAACACAGCACUGUGCAAACACGAAAGUGGACGUAUACGGUGUGACGCCUGCCCGGUGCCGGAAGGUUAAUUGAUGGGGUUAGCGGUAACGCGAAGCUCUUGAUCGAAGCCCCGGUAAACGGCGGUACGUAACUAUAACGGUCCUAAGGUAGCGAAAUUCCUUGUCGGGUAAGUUCCGACCUGCACGAAUGGCGUAAUGAUGGCCAGGCUGUCUCCACCCGAGACUCAGUGAAAUUGAACUCGCUGUGAAGAUGCAGUGUACCCGCGGCAAGACGGAAAGACCCCGUGAACCUUUACUAUAGCUUGACACUGAACAUUGAGCCUUGAUGUGUAGGAUAGGUGGGAGGCUUUGAAGUGUGGACGCCAGUCUGCAUGGAGCCGACCUUGAAAUACCACCCUUUAAUGUUUGAUGUUCUAACGUUGGCCCCUAAUCGGGGUUGCGGACAGUGUCUGGUGGGUAGUUUGACUGGGGCGGUCUCCUCCUAAAGAGUAACGGAGGAGCACGAAGGUUGGCUAAUCCUGGUCGGACAUCAGGAGGUUAGUGCAAUGGCAUAAGCCAGCUUGACUGCGAGCGUGACGGCGCGAGCAGGUGCGAAAGCAGGUCAUAGUGAUCCGGUGGUUCUGAAUGGAAGGGCCAUCGCUCAACGGAUAAAAGGUACUCCGGGGAUAACAGGCUGAUACCGCCCAAGAGUUCAUAUCGACGGCGGUGUUUGGCACCUCGAUGUCGGCUCAUCACAUCCUGGGGCUGAAGUAGGUCCCAAGGGUAUGGCUGUUCGCCAUUUAAAGUGGUACGCGAGCUGGGUUUAGAACGUCGUGAGACAGUUCGGUCCCUAUCUGCCGUGGGCGCUGGAGAACUGAGGGGGCUGCUCCUAGUACGAGAGGACCGGAGUGGACGCAUCACUGGUGUUCGGGUUGUCAUGCCAAUGGCACUGCCCGGUAGCUAAAUGCGGAAGAGAUAAGUGCUGAAAGCAUCUAAGCACGAAACUUGCCCCGAGAUGAGUUCUCCCUGACUCCUUGAGAGUCCUGAAGGAACGUUGAAGACGACGACGUUGAUAGGCCGGGUGUGUAAGCGCAGCGAUGCGUUGAGCUAACCGGUACUAAUGAACCGUGAGGCUUAACCUU